AGCUUAUCAAGAGAGGUAUAGGGACUGGCCCGAUGACACCUCAGCAACCAGCCAAUUAUGGCACGGUGCUAAUUCCACCAGGUACUAGUUACCGGCAGAUAAGAA
This 105-nucleotide non-coding RNA is filed under the name Virgibacillus sp. RNAcentral describes it as "SAM-I sequence". It matches the Rfam family "SAM riboswitch aptamer (S box leader)". From Rfam's summary of the family: The SAM riboswitch is found upstream of a number of genes which code for proteins involved in methionine or cysteine biosynthesis in Gram-positive bacteria. The SAM riboswitch acts at the level of transcription termination control. RNAcentral also lists the same sequence under 1 other name. Lineage: Bacteria; Bacillati; Bacillota; Bacilli; Caryophanales; Bacillaceae. The record is from RNAcentral.